AAUUAGCUAUGUGUUACAUUGUAUUUCCUAUUGCAGAGAUUUAGAACAAAACUAGUAAUGCCAAGUUAGAACCUUAAUGACAUUGAUGUCACUGAGGUCCCUGAAAAUGGUCACAAUG
Molecule: small nucleolar RNA, 118 nt
Organism: Ochotona princeps (American pika)
Lineage: Eukaryota; Metazoa; Chordata; Mammalia; Lagomorpha; Ochotonidae
Source: Ensembl